CUUUGAGAUUUUACUGCAUAGUUUACAAUGCUUAGGUGUGCUACGGCAGUAUAACGCUUCAUAUGUCACUCAGCUAUGUCGUCUGAGUACAGCAAUACCCCCGUAUGUACCUUUCCCAGGUAUAUGUGGAUGUUGAAGGGGCAAAUUUGAGACUCGGUUUGUUUCAAGCUUUGAAUUUCAUGCUGGGUCCAUGUCCCAUUUUGGGUCAAACUCUGAG
Non-coding RNA from Pelobates cultripes (western spadefoot toad), 217 nucleotides. NCBI's taxonomy places the organism in Eukaryota, Metazoa, Chordata, Amphibia, Anura, Pelobatidae. The record is from the annotation of a GenBank genome assembly.